This 253-nucleotide ribosomal RNA is filed under the name uncultured bacterium. RNAcentral's name for it is "partial 16S ribosomal RNA". It matches the Rfam family "Bacterial small subunit ribosomal RNA", at positions 524 to 776 of the family's 1533-position model. The record is from RNAcentral.
UACGUAGGGUGCGAGCGUUAAUCGGAAUUACUGGGCGUAAAGCGCGCGCAGGCGGUUUUGUAAGAUAGAUGUGAAAUCCCCGGGCUUAACCUGGGAACUGCAUUUGUGACUGCAAGACUAGAGUGCGGCAGAGGGGAGUAGAAUUCCACGUGUAGCGGUGAAAUGCGUAGAUAUGUGGAGGAAUACCGGUGGCGAAGGCGGCCCCCUGGGUCGACACUGACGCUCAUGCGCGAAAGCGUGGGGAGCAAACAGG